Molecule: ribosomal RNA, 274 nt
Filed under: uncultured bacterium
Lineage: Bacteria
Description: partial 16S ribosomal RNA
Rfam family: Bacterial small subunit ribosomal RNA
Source: RNAcentral
UACGUAGGGGGCGAGCGUUGUCCGGAUUUAUUGGGCGUAAAGAGCUCGUAGGUGGUUCGAUAAGUCGGGUGUGAAAACUCUGGGCUCAACUCAGAGACGCCACCCGAUACUGUCGUGACUUGAGUCUGGUAGGGGAGUGUGGAAUUCCCGGUGUAGCGGUGAAAUGCGCAGAUAUCGGGAGGAACACCAGUGGCGAAGGCGGCACUCUGGGCCAGUACUGACACUGAGGAGCGAAAGCGUGGGUAGCGAACAGGAUUAGAAACCCCCGUAGUCC